CUGGGCUCCAGGUCUAGGAAAAUUUCAGUACAGUGGCUGGAUAUGCACAGUGGGCCAUAGACUCAAGCAGAGCCCAGCUUUGUUUUUGCUUUUUUGUGGCCAUGCGGCCUAGGGCAGGUGACUCUACCUCAAUUCCACUUUGGUAAAUGGAGCUAAGAACACCUGGCCCACCUACUCACAGCAUCAUGAGAAUCACAUGAGAAACUACGUAGAGGGUGGGGUGUCCAAUUGCUGUCAGGGCUUAUUCUCAUUAGCCUGCUAUUGUAGUUAAGGAGCAAGAGUUUCCUCUCUGGAGCACGCAUCUCCCCUUUUGUUGUCUUCACCUGCUGCUCACAGCUGGGCUAACGUGGACCCGCAGCUCAGACCUCUGCCCUCAUAGUAACCCAUGUUUCUUCGACACACUCUUCUUUGCCUCAGAUCCCCUGAUCUUCACUCAUGGAACCCAUCUUGCGUGACUUUAGACAAAGCUCCUGAGAUGCCAUCUGUGUUCUGGUUCUGCUUUUGAAAAGUAAAACCUGCCCGCUCCUCCAGGAUCUCAAGCCCAGCCCAUAGCACAACAUCUAAACAUACCCCUAGAUACACAGCUAGGGUCACUCACCACACUCGUGUGAGGCCUGCUUGUAAGCUCAGGACACACUGGAUGAAGACCCAGCCAAGACCACAAUGUGAACCUCACCUCCUCCAGGAAGCCUUCCCUGACUACCUUCAAAGUCAUUUUAUACUUUAUGACCAAGGUCAGUUCCACCUUGUAAGAGCAGCAGCGCCCGGGGCAGCCACCACCAAAACAGCAGGCCAACAGAGUGGUGAGCAGGGCAUUGGUCAGUGAAGCAGGAAGGAGGACCAGCUCUUGGAAGACAGUGCAGCCAGGCCCCUAUUCCCCCAGCAAAGCCCUAAGCACUGCUCUGGAUCUCUUCCUAUAUUUUCUCCACUUUCCCCAAGCCUCUAGUUAGAGAACAUUCCAGAUGAACUGCUUGUCUCCAAGCCAGGAAGCUCUCCAUAGGUUUCAGUCCAAUUCAUCUCAGCCUUGGGGGCCUCCAGAAUAGGAUUGCCAGGCAUCCUGUAUAUCAGAAUAUCUUAUACCUGCUAAACAUGUCCCACACCCUGUGUGGGCCAGCAGGAUGUCCUCCACAAACAAGAUUUAGCUUUUUUUUCUUUUCCUUUUUUUUUUUCAGGAUUCAGCUUUUAUCAAUCGAUAAAAAACAUUCAGCCCUUUUAGAGCUCUUUUCUUAGUUUAUCUGGGCAUCCUAUAUUUUUAUUUGCUAAAUCUGGCAACGUCAUUCCCAGAAGCCAGGUAUUUAGAGACCACACCACACACCACACCCUGGGGGAAGGUAAAGGGGGUGGUUUCUACACAGAUCACAUAAGUAGUUCUGUGUGUAUGUAUGUGUGUGUGUGUGUGUGUGUGUGUGUGUGUGUGUCCGUGCAUGUUAUGUGUGUGCCUGUGUGUGCCCCAAGCCCCCUGGGAGUGUGCUCUGCGUGUAGGUAGGUAUGAGCCUGUUUGGCACAGGGGUUGAGCCAUCAUCUUCAUUCAUCGCUGAACAAAGCAUGGUGGGAGAGGGGGUGGUAGGGGAAGACUCACCAGGAUUUUC
Long non-coding RNA from Vulpes vulpes (red fox), 1589 nucleotides. The record is from Ensembl. NCBI's taxonomy places the organism in Eukaryota, Metazoa, Chordata, Mammalia, Carnivora, Canidae.